GAUGAACGCUGGCGGCGUGCCUAAUACAUGCAAGUCGAGCGAACAGACGAGGAGCUUGCUCCUCUGACGUUAGCGGCGGACGGGUGAGUAACACGUGGAUAACCUACCUAUAAGACUGGGAUAACUUCGGGAAACCGGAGCUAAUACCGGAUAAUAUAUUGAACCGCAUGGUUCAAUAGUGAAAGACGGUUUUGCUGUCACUUAUAGAUGGAUCCGCGCCGCAUUAGCUAGUUGGUAAGGUAACGGCUUACCAAGGCAACGAUGCGUAGCCGACCUGAGAGGGUGAUCGGCCACACUGGAACUGAGACACGGUCCAGACUCCUACGGGAGGCAGCAGUAGGGAAGCUGCCGCAAUGGGCGAAAGCCUGACGGAGCAACGCCGCGUGAGUGAUGAAAGUCUUCGGAUCGGAAAACUCUGUUAUUAGGGAAGAACAAAUGUGUAAGUAACUAUUCACGUCUUGACGUUACCUAAUCAGAAUGCCACGGCUAACUACGUU
RNAcentral lists this ribosomal RNA (497 nucleotides) under uncultured bacterium. Its description in RNAcentral is "partial 16S ribosomal RNA". It matches the Rfam family "Bacterial small subunit ribosomal RNA", at positions 28 to 507 of the family's 1533-position model. The record is from RNAcentral.